UACGUAGGGGGCUAGCGUUGUCCGGAAUCAUUGGGCGUAAAGAGGGCGUAGGCGGUCCGGUAAGUCCGCUGUGAAAGUCGGGGGCUCAACCCUCGAAUGCCGGUGGAUACUGUCGGGCUAGAGUGCGGAAGAGGCGAGUGGAAUUCCUGGUGUAGCGGUGAAAUGCGUAGAUAUCAGGAGGAACACCUAUUGCGAAGGCAGCUCGCUGGGACGUAACUGACGCUGAGACGCGAAAGCGUGGGGAGCAAACAGG
Molecule: ribosomal RNA, 253 nt
Filed under: uncultured bacterium
Lineage: Bacteria
Description: partial 16S ribosomal RNA
Rfam family: Bacterial small subunit ribosomal RNA
Source: RNAcentral